CUUUUUCAUUUCUGUGGGGAAAAAUACAAAGUACUUUUAGUCCCCUGAACACCGCGAUGGUUUUAGCAGUCGUUUUUCUGUGGCUACUGGAAAAACGAUGGAAAUUAUUGAAAAAAGGGCGAAAUACGAAGAAAACGAGGAGACGAAGGGUCGUUGGAAGCUCGCAUCAAGGCCACAAGAAAGGGCUCGCACGUACUGCGGAACGACUCGGCCGUCCGACCUCGAACGGAAUAAACUUCGUAUACCGUGACUUUGACUCUGUGCGGCGGAUUUCAUCGAUAAUAAAUUUACUUGUGAAAGAAAGGAAAGAGGAGAGCUCGAAAAAUCGAUUUCUCGCUCUCGUCGAAAAAAAAAUGGUGUCCCCGUGACACGAAGCUCGUUCAGUUUCACCUGCAGCUUCGUUCGAAAGUGUUUUAUUCAAAAUAAAGUGAAAAAUUUAUUGAAAAAGUGAUUCUAAUUACUUUCGCGAUCGAUUUCGAGGAAAAUACGAACUCCCCGAGGAUUUUUAUACUCGAUCUCGUCCCGAGUGUCUUGCGAAUGGAAAACAACGAAUCCGCCGUAUUCGAACGCGCACGCGGUGUAUCGAUGCACUUGACCCCAAGCUCGAGCACAGCCAUGACUUCAAUUUGCGGCAUGAUCGAUCAUCAUUUCCACGAGGAAUCGUCGCAGCGCGAAACGAUAAGAAAGUGGAAGCCCGGAGCUCGACGUGCUCUGCGAUUAUCAAUUCCUUGCGACUCGCCAGCGCGGCGGACGGUUUUCUCGCACUUUUAUUCCUCGCUCACCCCUUUUUUCUGCCUAACUUUUUUACCAUUCUUAUCGUCGAGGGCACAACGUUUCUCGAACUCGACGUUAACUUUCGCCUCGAUUAUCUCCGGAAGCAAAUUAUUCUUCGCCCUGUCCGUGAAACCUGACGAAUCGUAGCGCCAAAAAUAGCUCCCGCCGGAGGAUUUUCUCCCGAGAUUUCUGCACGACGGAACCGCACUCGUUCCGGUUUUUAACCCCGAUUACCGAACGGACGUCAAGUUAUUCGUCGACUCUCGUCGGACGUUCAACACAACAGUUGAAGGCAAAAAACUGUCGACCUCCCAGCGGAUUAAUUCGACUCGAAUGGCUGGUGCAUAAUGUCGAUAAUUAUAAUGGUAUUUUACCGGUAUUCAAAGACUUACGACUAAUUGCUGACGUGCCAGAUAGACGUUGCGAAUAGCGCCUGUAAUGAUGACGUUGCUUUUCUUCAGACUCGGAAUAUAAGGAUCGCCGGCGUCGGGAAACAUUAUUUGCGUGGCAGUCCGUUGCAUAAUCAUCUUGAGAUUCGAGUUCUGCUUGCCCAGCACGAUGCUGUGGUGCUGCGGCGAGAUCUCCAUCGACAUUUGCACUUGAAUCUGGUUCUGCAGUUUAAUUACAAUGGAUUUAUCCAAAUUUCGAUAACUCGGUAGCACAAAAUUUUACUUUUCUCAUCUCCUUCUCAACCGAACUUGAGGAACUUUCGUUAUAAAGUAAAGAAAAGUCGAAUACUCACCGCGAGGUGGUCGCACAUGUAAUGAAUGAGCAGCAGCGUCGCGUCCUUAGCUUUGCUCACUUCCCACUCGCAGCCUUUGACGACGACGA
Venturia canescens is the source of this 1605-nucleotide long non-coding RNA. RefSeq lists it as uncharacterized. The record is from RefSeq and is a predicted model, not a curated record. The transcript is spliced from 3 exons. Lineage: Eukaryota; Metazoa; Arthropoda; Insecta; Hymenoptera; Ichneumonidae.